Molecule: ribosomal RNA, 485 nt
Filed under: uncultured bacterium
Lineage: Bacteria
Description: partial 16S ribosomal RNA
Rfam family: Bacterial small subunit ribosomal RNA
Source: RNAcentral
AUUGAACGCUGGCGGCAUGCCUUACACAUGCGAGUCGAACGGCAGCACGGGUGAUUGCUCCUGGUGGCGAGUGGCGAACGGGUGAGUAAUACAUCGGAACAUGUUCUGUAGGGGGGGAUAGCCCGGUGAAAGCCGGAUUACUACUGCCUACGAUCUACGGAAGAAAGCAGGGGUACUUCGGGCAUCGCGCUUUACGGUUGGCCGAUGGCUGAUCAGCUAGUAUGAGGGGGAAGGGCCUACCAAGGCGACGAUCAGCAGCUGCUCUGAGAGGACGACCAGCCACACUGAGACUGAGACGCGGCCCAGACUCCUACGGGAGGCAGGAGUGGGGAAUUUUGGAAAAGGGGCGAAUGCCAGAGCGAGCAAUGCCGCGAGUGAGAAGAGGGCCUGCGUGUUGUAAAGCACUUUUGUCCGGAAAGAAAUCCUUGGCCCUAAUACGGUCGGGAGAGGAGGGAACCGGAAGAAUAAGCACCGGCAAAUUACGU